UUCCGGUUGAUCCUGCCGGACCUGACUGCUAUCGGAUUGAUACUAAGCCAUGCGAGUCAUUGUAGCAAUACAAGGCAGACGGCUCAGUAACGCGUAGUCAACCUGCCCUAUGGACGGAAAUAACCUCGGGAAACUGAGUAUAAUGUCCGAUAGAACACUAUACCUGGAAUGGUUUGUGUUCCAAAUGAUUUAUCGCCAUAGGAUGGGACUGCGGCCUAUCAGUUUGUUGGUGAGGUAAUGGCCCACCAAGACUAUUACAGGUACGGGCUCUGAGAGGAGUGGCCCGGAGAUGGGUACUGAGACACGGACCCAGGCCCUAUGGGGCGCAGCAGGCGAGAAAACUUUGCAAUGUGCGAAAGCACGACAAGGUUAAUCCGAGUGGUUUGUGCUAAACGAACCUUUUGUCAGUCCUAGAAACACUAACGAAUAAGGGGUGGGCAAGUUCUGGUGUCAGCCGCCGCGGUAAAACCAGCACCUCAAGUGGUCAGGAUGAUUAUUGGGCCUAAAGCAUCCGUAGCCGGCUCUGUAAGUUUUCGGUUAAAUCUGUACGCUUAACGUACAGGCUGCCGGGAAUACUGCAGAGCUAGGGAGUGGGAGAGGUAGACGGUACUCGGUAGGAAGGGGUAAAAUCCUUUGAUCUAUUGAUGACCACCUGUGGCGAAGGCGGUCUACCAGAACACGUCCGACGGUGAGGGAUGAAAGCUGGGGGAGCAACCGGAUUAGAUACCCGGGUAGUCCCAGCUGUAAACUAUGCAAACUCAGUGAUGCAUUGACUUGUGGUCAAUGCAGUGCUGCAGGGAAGCCGUUAAGUUUGCCGCCUGGGAAGUACGUACGCAAGUAUGAAACUUAAAGGAAUUGGCGGGGGAGCACCACAAGGGGUGAAGCCUGCGGUUCAAUUGGAUUCAACGCCGGA
RNAcentral lists this ribosomal RNA (913 nucleotides) under uncultured crenarchaeote. RNAcentral's name for it is "bacterial SSU rRNA". It matches the Rfam family "Archaeal small subunit ribosomal RNA", at positions 1 to 922 of the family's 1478-position model. The record is from RNAcentral. Lineage: Archaea; Thermoproteati; Thermoproteota.